This 579-nucleotide ribosomal RNA is filed under the name Saccharomyces cerevisiae (brewer's yeast). Its description in RNAcentral is "eukaryotic LSU rRNA". It matches the Rfam family "Eukaryotic large subunit ribosomal RNA", at positions 76 to 671 of the family's 3401-position model. Lineage: Eukaryota; Fungi; Ascomycota; Saccharomycetes; Saccharomycetales; Saccharomycetaceae. The record is from RNAcentral.
UGCGUUAGUACGGCGAGUGAGCGGCAAAAGCUCAAAUUUGAAAUCUGGUACCUUCGGUGCCCGAGUUGUAAUUUGGAGAGGGCAACUUUGGGGCCGUUCCUUGUCUAUGUUCCUUGGAACAGGACGUCAUAGAGGGUGAGAAUCCCGUGUGGCGAGGAGUGCGGUUCUUUGUAAAGUGCCUUCGAAGAGUCGAGUUGUUUGGGAAUGCAGCUCUAAGUGGGUGGUAAAUUCCAUCUAAAGCUAAAUAUUGGCGAGAGACCGAUAGCGAACAAGUACAGUGAUGGAAAGAUGAAAAGAACUUUGAAAAGAGAGUGAAAAAGUACGUGAAAUUGUUGAAAGGGAAGGGCAUUUGAUCAGACAUGGUGUUUUGUGCCCUCUGCUCCUUGUGGGUAGGGGAAUCUCGCAUUUCACUGGGCCAGCAUCAGUUUUGGUGGCAGGAUAAAUCCAUAGGAAUGUAGCUUGCCUCGGUAAGUAUUAUAGCCUGUGGGAAUACUGCCAGCUGGGACUGAGGACUGCGACGUAAGUCAAGGAUGCUGGCAUAAUGGUUAUAUGCCGCCCGUCUUGAACACCGGACCAAAA